UACGGGGGGAGCAAACGUUGUUCGGAAUCACUGGGCGUAAAGGGAGCGUAGGCGGCCAUGUAAGUGAGGUGUUAAAUCCCCCGGCUCAACCGGGGACCUGCACCUCAUACUGCACGGCUUGAGUACAUCAGAGGAGACUGGAAUUCCCGGUGUAGCGGUGAAAUGCGUAGAUAUCGGGAGGAACAUCUGUGGCGAAGGCGACACCCUGGACCAGCACUGACACUGAGGCACGAAAGCGUGGGGAGCAAACAGG
RNAcentral lists this ribosomal RNA (253 nucleotides) under uncultured bacterium. RNAcentral's name for it is "partial 16S ribosomal RNA". It matches the Rfam family "Bacterial small subunit ribosomal RNA", at positions 524 to 776 of the family's 1533-position model. The record is from RNAcentral.